AUUGAACGCUGGCGGAAUGCUUUACACAUGCAAGUCGAACGGCAGCACGGACUUCGGUCUGGUGGCGAGUGGCGAACGGGUGAGUAAUGUAUCGGAACGUGCCCAGUCGUGGGGGAUAACGUAGUGAAAAUUACGCUAAUACCGCAUACGAUCUAUGGAUGAAAGCGGGGGAUCGCAAGACCUCGCGCGAUUGGAGCGGCCGAUAUCAGAUUAGGUAGUUGGUGGGGUAAAGGCCCACCAAGCCAACGAUCUGUAUCUGGUCUGAGAGGACGAACAGCCAAACUGGAACUGAGACACGGUCCAGACUCCUACGGGAGGCAGCAGUGGGGAAUUUUGGACAAUGGGCGAAAGCCUGAUUCAGCCAUUCCGCGUGCAGGAUGAAGGCCCUCGGGUUGUAAACUGCUUUUGUACAGAACGAAAAGGUUUCUACUAAUACUAGGAGCUCAUGACGGUACUGUAAGAAUAAGCACCGGCUAACUACGUGCCAGCAGCCGCUGUAA
Molecule: ribosomal RNA, 500 nt
Filed under: uncultured bacterium
Lineage: Bacteria
Description: partial 16S ribosomal RNA
Rfam family: Bacterial small subunit ribosomal RNA
Source: RNAcentral